AUGCAACUAGUAGUAAUAGUAUAUAACUAUAUACCUUGCGAAACAGAGGAGUCACCCAAAUCUGGAUUUAGGUCUGGAUCAACUCUAAUUUUCAAGCUUUGCUCCACAUCUUGUGCUAGCUGCUCUGCACAUUUAGCAGCCAUAUCAUAUGUUUCAUCGGACUCUGCGGCGCGAGCAGCUAUGUGGAUAAACAUUCUACACAAGUCCUUACAAAAGUUCGACAUUCUUGCUUUUAGACCUUCAUGCAGAUUGCGAUUGCUUGUUAUCUCUAGCACUUUCACAUCAAUUUUCCAUCUUUUCAGUAUAUAUUUUUCAGGGAUAUGCUUGAUAUUAUUAAUAUCAAGUAUCUUUAAGCAAUGA
This 360-nucleotide ribosomal RNA is filed under the name Triticum aestivum (bread wheat). RNAcentral describes it as "partial small subunit ribosomal RNA". The record is from RNAcentral. Lineage: Eukaryota; Viridiplantae; Streptophyta; Magnoliopsida; Poales; Poaceae.